This is a long non-coding RNA of Eriocheir sinensis (Chinese mitten crab), 2208 nucleotides long. RefSeq lists it as uncharacterized. The record is from RefSeq and is a predicted model, not a curated record. The transcript has 3 exons. NCBI's taxonomy places the organism in Eukaryota, Metazoa, Arthropoda, Malacostraca, Decapoda, Varunidae.
CUGUAGCUACAAAACUAUAUAAUAAUGACACCAGUUCUUUCUACAGGACAUAGCAAUAAUAAUAAUAAUGAUAAUAAUAAUAAUAAUAAAUACAAUAAUUAUACAAUGGUCUAGUACUUCUUCUCAUCAACAGACAGACUAAGUACGAUAUAUAUACAAAAAUAGACUGUAUUAAGCACUGAACCAUGAACACACACACACACACACACACACAUGACUUGCGGUAACAGUCUCAAAUUUGGUCUCAUUUCGGAAGCACAAAGUCUUGGUCAGAGAGGUCAAUGGCAGGAGAGACCAGCUGAUACACACACACACACACACACACACACACACUAAAGCUGGGAAUGGCUAGGGAACAGAAUAGGGAGGUUACACACACACACACACACACACACACACACACACACACACACACACACACACACACACACACACACAUUUAAAAAUCAUAUAUGCAAAUCUAACAGAAGGAACAAUAGCCAUUAUCUUGUAUAUGCACUCCCAAAUCAAUAAUGUAGUAAGACUUUUUGUGACCCAGUGGAGUGAAUUUGUAUGCAUUUUGUGACCCAGGGGAUUGUCAAAGAAUGAAUGUGCUUGCUUUGCUGAUUAGAACCCAAAUGAAUGUAUGAAUAUAGUUUUGUAAAUAAGUCAGUCAGUUUAUACUACUUAUAGGUUGUCCAGUAUAGUGAAUUUGCGUGUUUUGUGACCCAGGGGAUUGUCAAAGAAUGAAUGUGCUUGCCUGGCUGAAUAGAACCCAAAUGAAUGCAUGAAUGAGUUUUGUAUAGUGAAUAAGUAAGUUUUUUAGGAAGUUUGACAUGCAUAUUUUACUAACUUGCAAUCUCUUCUUUUCAUUCAACAUCCCAGUGCAUUAACAAAGAGUGUAUGUGCUUGCCUGGCUGAUAGAACCCAAAUGAAUGGAUCAAUAUAUUUUUGUAUAGUGAAUAAGUAAGUCAAUUUACGGGUUAGCUAACAUGCGUCUGUCAUUAACUCACAAUCUUCUUUUCAUUUAACAUCCCAGAGCAUUGCCAAAGAGUGUAUGUAUUUCCCUGACUAAUGUGUGACCUAAAUGAAUGCAUGAAUGUAGUUUUGUAAAGAGAAUAAAUCAAUCAAUCAAUUUAUACUAGGUAGUUUGACAUUCUUAUUUCAUCAACCCACAAUCUUCUUCAUCUUCUUGUUUAAUGUCCUUAUUUUCCUAUGAUAUCAAAUGGUUCCUCCUGCCAUGCCUCCUCUCUGUUAAGUAUAUGGAUUAGCAGGAACAACAGUAUCUCUCUCAACACACAGACUGAAAGAAAGAAAGAAAGAAAGAAGGAAAAAAAAGGAAAGAUGAGAAAGAAAGAAAAAGAAAGAAUGAAGGAAAGAAAGAAAGAAACCAAAAAACAAACAAACAAAGACAGAAAAGGAAAGAAAGGAGGAAAGAAAAGAAGAAAGAGAAGGAAAGAAAAGAAAGAAAGAAGGAAAAAAGGUGAGAAAGAAAGAAAGAAAUAAUGGAGGAAAGAAAAAAUGAAGGAAAUCAAUAAAUAAACCAAAAAACAAACAAACAAAGACAGAAAAGGAAAGACAAGAAGAAAGAGAAGGAAAGAGAAAAAAAAGGAAAGGAAAGAAAAAAGAAAAGAAAUUAAGAAGGAACAGAGGAACAGGUAUACAGACAAACAGCUUAAUGGUACAGUCCUAUCAGUUAAGUGUUUUGGUGUUUUCAAGUGUUGCUAAAUGACAAACACCUGAUAUAUCACAUUUCUGGCCUCGAAGGGGACCCAAACUUACACACAGAGGGGAGAACUUAAGAUUACACACUAUCUCAUUUUUUCUUCUUUAUCUGGAAUGCAUUUUAGGACAGCAUAAUAGUGUUUGUUUCCUCUUUUCUGAGUUUUUAUCACAAUGGGAACAGGGAACGUCCAACAAGAUGCGUCGCUCCCUCGCCUAAACGCAAUCAAGAUAUGUACAUGGCUGACAGCGUUUGUGUAGCAGGACUCAAGAUCAAGGUGCCACAAGUCCUCUUACGCACUUAAACACGGUAGAAUAGAAGGAGGGAAGGCAUCGUUUGUGUAGCAGGACUCAAGAUCAAGGUUCCUCAAGUUCUCUUACGCACUUAUACACAGUAGAACAGAAGGUGGGAAGGCAUCGCUUGUGUGGCAGGACUCAAGAUCAAGGUUUCGUCAAGUCCUCUUACGCACUUAAACACAGAAUAUAAGAGGUGGGAAGGCAUCGUUU